AAAAUCCCAUCAGGUAAUACCUAACCAGUAGCCUGUACCUAGUUCCUUGGAGCCGAAGUGGUAACACUAGGUUUAAGCGUAGGACAGGGAGCAAACGAGCCGAAACGAAAGUGAAGCUAUAGAGCCACGAAAUUAUUAUCUAAAUGAAGAGGUCGAUGCCCUUUGAUUGGUCGCAGACAACAUUCUAUAAUUCGUUAGGGUGAGAUUUAUAGAACUCUUCCGGGGUCUGAGGGCU
Molecule: non-coding RNA, 235 nt
Filed under: Clostridium homopropionicum
Lineage: Bacteria; Bacillati; Bacillota; Clostridia; Eubacteriales; Clostridiaceae
Source: RNAcentral